GGGUUGUGAGGUUAAGCGACUAAGCGUACACGGUGGAUGCCCUGGCAGUCAGAGGCGAUGAAGGGCGUGCUAAUCUGCGAUAAGCGCCGGUAAGGUGAUAUGAACCGUUAUAACCGGCGAUACCCGAAUGGGGAAACCCAGUGUGAUUCGUCACACUAUCAUUAACUGAAUCCAUAGGUUAAUGAGGCGAACCGGGGGAACUGAAACAUCUAAGUACCCCGAGGAAAAGAAAUCAACCGAGAUUCCCCCAGUAGCGGCGAGCGAACGGGGAGGAGCCCAGAGCCUGAAUCAGCAUGUGUGUUAGUGGAAGCGUCUGGAAAGGCGCGCGAUACAGGGUGACAGCCCCGUACACAAAAGCGCAUGUGCUGUGAGCUCGAUGAGUAGGGCGGGACACGUGGUAUCCUGUCUGAAUAUGGGGGGACCAUCCUCCAAGGCUAAAUACUCCUGACUGACCGAUAGUGAACCAGUACCGUGAGGGAAAGGCGAAAAGAACCCCGGCGAGGGGAGUGAAAAAGAACCUGAAACCGUGUACGUACAAGCAGUGGGAGCACCCUUUGGGUGUGACUGCGUACCUUUUGUAUAAUGGGUCAGCGACUUAUAUUCUGUAGCAAGGUUAACCGAAUAGGGGAGCCGGAGGGAAACCGAGUCUUAACCGGGCGUUAAGUUGCAGGGUAUAGACCCGAAACCCGGUGAUCUAGCCAUGGGCAGGUUGAAGGUUGGGUAACACUAACUGGAGGACCGAACCGACUAAUGUUGAAAAAUUAGCGGAUGACCUGUGGCUGGGGGUGAAAGGCCAAUCAAACCGGGAGAUAGCUGGUUCUCCCCGAAAGCUAUUUAGGUAGCGCCUCGUGAAUUCAUCUCCGGGGGUAGAGCACUGUUUCGGCUAGGGGGCCAUCCCGGCUUACCAACCCGAUGCAAACUGCGAAUACCGGAGAAUGUUAUCACGGGAGACACACGGCGGGUGCUAACGUCCGUCGUGAAGAGGGAAACAACCCAGACCGCCAGCUAAGGUCCCAAAGUCAUGGUUAAGUGGGAAACGAUGUGGGAAGGCCCAGACAGCCAGGAUGUUGGCUUAGAAGCAGCCAUCAUUUAAAGAAAGCGUAAUAGCUCACUGGUCGAGUCGGCCUGCGCGGAAGAUGUAACGGGGCUAAACCAUGCACCGAAGCUGCGGCAGCGACACUGUGUGUUGUUGGGUAGGGGAGCGUUCUGUAAGCCUGUGAAGGUGUGUCGUGAGGCAUGCUGGAGGUAUCAGAAGUGCGAAUGCUGACAUAAGUAACGAUAAAGCGGGUGAAAAGCCCGCUCGCCGGAAGACCAAGGGUUCCUGUCCAACGUUAAUCGGGGCAGGGUGAGUCGACCCCUAAGGCGAGGCCGAAAGGCGUAGUCGAUGGGAAACGGGUUAAUAUUCCCGUACUUGGUGUUACUGCGAAGGGGGGACGGAGAAGGCUAUGUUGGCCGGGCGACGGUUGUCCCGGUUUAAGCGUGUAGGUGUGUGUUCCAGGUAAAUCCGGU
Molecule: ribosomal RNA, 1509 nt
Filed under: Salmonella enterica
Lineage: Bacteria; Pseudomonadati; Pseudomonadota; Gammaproteobacteria; Enterobacterales; Enterobacteriaceae
Description: partial 23S ribosomal RNA
Rfam family: Bacterial large subunit ribosomal RNA
Source: RNAcentral